CAACAACAACACAACGUCCAACAACAUUAAAAGAUUUCGUUACACCAGAACCACCGACCACUCCCGAUCCUGGUGUACCUUUCGAGUGUCAAGAUGAAGGUUUCUUCAAGAAUCCAAAAGAUUGUCGCAAAUACUUUUGGUGCCUCGAUUCAGGUCCAGCCAAUUUAGGAAUCGUGGCUCAUGCAUUCACUUGUCCGUCAGGAUUAUAUUUCAACACGAAAACAGAGGCUUGUGAUUAUCCCGAAAACGUCAAGUGCAAAGUUACAUCAACAUCAACUUCAUCAUCGAACCCAAAAAGGACUCGACCCACAUCAACAACCACAUCAACCACCAC
RNAcentral lists this unclassified non-coding RNA (334 nucleotides) under Panonychus citri (citrus red mite). Lineage: Eukaryota; Metazoa; Arthropoda; Arachnida; Trombidiformes; Tetranychidae. The record is from RNAcentral.